Molecule: ribosomal RNA, 386 nt
Filed under: uncultured bacterium
Lineage: Bacteria
Description: bacterial SSU rRNA
Rfam family: Bacterial small subunit ribosomal RNA
Source: RNAcentral
AUUGAACGCUGGCGGCAUGCUUUACACAUGCAAGUCGAACGGCAGCACGGGGGCAACCCUGGUGGCGAGUGGCGAACGGGUGAGUAAUAUAUCGGAACGUACCCGGAAAUGGGGGAUAACGUAGCGAAAGUUACGCUAAUACCGCAUAUGCCCUAAGGGGGAAAGCGGGGGAUUCGCAAGAACCUCGCGUUUUCGGAGCGGCCGAUAUCGGAUUAGCUAGUAGGUGAGGUAAAGGCUCACCUAGGCGACGAUCCGUAGCUGGUCUGAGAGGACGACCAGCCACACUGGAACUGAGACACGGUCCAGACUCCUACGGGAGGCAGCAGUGGGGAAUUUUGGACAAUGGGCGCAAGCCUGAUCCAGCCAUGCCGCGUGAGUGAAGAAGG